Lethenteron reissneri (Far Eastern brook lamprey) is the source of this 124-nucleotide small nucleolar RNA. RefSeq annotates it as small nucleolar RNA SNORD67. NCBI's taxonomy places the organism in Eukaryota, Metazoa, Chordata, Hyperoartia, Petromyzontiformes, Petromyzontidae. The record is from RefSeq and is a predicted model, not a curated record.
AGCGAGAGUGAUGAGUUGCACAAUGACGCGGCAGGAGCGUGCAUGUGGCGUGCUCCUGUCACGGGCCGAAUGGAUUCACUCCUUGAUGAAAGCCCAGAGGUGCACAGGGGCCAUCUGACUCGCU